RNAcentral lists this ribosomal RNA (377 nucleotides) under uncultured eukaryote. RNAcentral describes it as "partial 18S ribosomal RNA". It matches the Rfam family "Eukaryotic small subunit ribosomal RNA", at positions 592 to 976 of the family's 1831-position model. The record is from RNAcentral.
CAAUAGCGUAUAUUUAAGUUGCUGCAGUUAAAAAGCUCGUAGUUGGAUUUCGGGUGGGAAUGGCCGGUCCGCCGUUUCGGUGUGCACUUGCUACGCCCACCUUGCUGCCGGGGACGUACUCUUGAGUUCACGCUCGGGACACGGAGUCGGCGAGGUUACUUUGAGUAAAUUAGAGUGUUCAAAGCAGGCCUACGCUCUGAAUACAUUAGCAUGGAAUAACACGAUAGGACUCUGGCCUAUCUUGUUGGUCUGUAGGACCGGAGUAAUGAUUAAGAGGGACAGUCGGGGGCAUUCGUAUUUCAUUGUCAGAGGUGAAAUUCUUGGAUUUAUGAAAGACGAACUACUGCGAAAGCAUUUGCCAAGGAUGUUUUCAUUAA